This 292-nucleotide ribosomal RNA is filed under the name uncultured bacterium. Its description in RNAcentral is "partial 16S ribosomal RNA". It matches the Rfam family "Bacterial small subunit ribosomal RNA", at positions 505 to 796 of the family's 1533-position model. The record is from RNAcentral.
GUGCCAGCCGCCGCGGUAAUACGUAGGUGGCGAGCGUUGUCCGGAUUUACUGGGCGUAAAGGGAGCGUAGGCGGUCUUUUAAGUGGGGUGUGAAAUCCCUGGGCUUAACCCAGGAAUUGCAUUCCAUACUGGGAGACUAGAGUGCAGGAGAGGAAAGUGGAAUUCCAAGUGUAGCGGUGAAAUGCGUAGAGAUUUGGAGGAACACCAGUGGCGAAGGCGACUUUCUGGACUGUAACUGACGCUGAGGCUCGAGAGCGUGGGGAGCAAACAGGAUUAGAAACCCCCGUAGUCC